Molecule: transfer RNA, 60 nt
Filed under: Singhiella simplex
Lineage: Eukaryota; Metazoa; Arthropoda; Insecta; Hemiptera; Aleyrodidae
Description: tRNA-Gly
Source: RNAcentral
AUUUUAUUAGUAUAAUCAGUAUAUUUAACUUCCAAUUAAAAGGUUUGAAAAAAUAAAAUA